This 421-nucleotide ribosomal RNA is filed under the name uncultured bacterium. RNAcentral describes it as "partial 16S ribosomal RNA". It matches the Rfam family "Bacterial small subunit ribosomal RNA", at positions 360 to 773 of the family's 1533-position model. The record is from RNAcentral.
AAUAUUGGAAAAUGGGGGCAACCCUGAUCCAGCCAUGCCGCGUGUGUGAAGAAGGUAUUCGGAUUGUAAAGCACUUUAAGUUGAGAGGAAGGGCUGUAGGUUAUUCCCCUGAAGUUUCGACGUUACCAACAGAGUAAUCACCGGCUAACUCUGUGCCAGCAGCCGCGGUAAUACAGAGGGUGCAAGCGUUAAUCGGAAUUACUGGGCGUAAAGCGCGCGUAGGUGGUUCAGUAAGAUGGGUGUGAAAUCCCCGGGCUUAACCUGGGAACUGCUUUCAUAACUGCUGAGCUAGAGUACGGUAGAGGGUAGUGGAAUUUCCUGUGUAGCGGUGAAAUGCGUAGAUAUAGGAAGGAACACCAGUGGCGAAGGCGACUACCUGGACUGAUACUGACACUGAGGUGCGAAAGCGUGGGGAGCAAAC